AGUUAGUUUAUAAAUAAAAUAGAUAUGAUUAAAAACGUUUUUGAUUUCAUUGAUUAGAUUGAAAAAUAGUAUUGCACUUGCACUAGCUUUGUCAGGCAGCUACGUUGUUUAAAGACAGUCGAACAGGUCAUUUCCCGCUCAAGUUGGAAAGAAUGUUGUGUAUUACAACUCAGAUAAGUUGACGAAUUACUGCUACUUGCGCAGCUAAAUUUCACAUAAGUUCAAAAACAUGAUUAGAAAUGAAAAACGUUUGGACAACAGAAGGUUCAGAUAAACAAGGUACCACAGUCAUCACAUGUUACAUACAUUGUAGUGACCUACUCUAUGUCCGAGAUCAACUCUAUAAUGUUCCAUGUAGUUUAAUCGAUCGAUCUUUGUCGUCGUCAUAAACAUAAAGAAGAUGGGUGGUCUUUGUCGUCUAUUCUCCGCGAGAUAUUUUAUCCUCAAAAACCGAUUGUGUUUGACGUUGGCCGUCGUUUCUAUCGUCCUGGGUUACCUGACAGGCUUGUAUUAUUGCAGUGUAUUUAAAGUCUAUUCGGACACUGAUCUGUCGGCGUCCUCUACUGCACGACUAUCCGCAGUCGAAUUUUGGAACGAGG
Molecule: long non-coding RNA, 599 nt
Organism: Aphis gossypii (cotton aphid)
Lineage: Eukaryota; Metazoa; Arthropoda; Insecta; Hemiptera; Aphididae
Exons: 4
Source: RefSeq, a predicted model, not a curated record